This 30-nucleotide non-coding RNA is filed under the name Rattus norvegicus (Norway rat). The record is from RNAcentral. Lineage: Eukaryota; Metazoa; Chordata; Mammalia; Rodentia; Muridae.
UGAGGGAACCCUUGACAUUUUUGGUGAUGA